This 74-nucleotide transfer RNA is filed under the name Collybiopsis luxurians FD-317 M1. RNAcentral's name for it is "tRNA-Lys (CTT) (tRNA-Lys-CTT-2-1)". It matches the Rfam family "tRNA". From Rfam's summary of the family: Transfer RNA (tRNA) molecules are approximately 80 nucleotides in length. Their secondary structure includes four short double-helical elements and three loops (D, anti-codon, and T loops). Lineage: Eukaryota; Fungi; Basidiomycota; Agaricomycetes; Agaricales; Omphalotaceae. The record is from RNAcentral.
GCCCGCCUAGCUCAAUCCGAUAGAGCGUCAGACUCUUAAUCUGAAGGCUGCGAGUUCGACCCUCGCGGUGGGCU